This is a small nucleolar RNA of Cannabis sativa, 107 nucleotides long. Lineage: Eukaryota; Viridiplantae; Streptophyta; Magnoliopsida; Rosales; Cannabaceae. The record is from RefSeq and is a predicted model, not a curated record.
AUUCCAUGACGAGGACACUUUCUGAUUAAGUCCUUGUAUCUUUCCCAGACAUCACAUAUAGACUCGUUGUCAUGUUGCAUGAAAUUAUUGAUCUCUGAUCUCAAUCU